AGAUUGAACGCUGGCGGCAUGCCUAACACAUGCAAGUCGAACGGGAGUAGCAAUACUCUAGUGGCGGACGGGUGAGGAAUACGUAGGAAUUUGCCCUUAAGUGGGGGAUACCCGGGGAAACCCGGAUUAAUACCGCAUGACCUCGAAAGAGCAAAGUGGGGGAUCGGCAAGACCUCACGCUUUUGGAGAAGCCUACGUCGGAUUAGCUAGUUGGUGAGGUAAUGGCUCACCGAAGGCGACGAUCCGUAACUGGUCUGAGAGGAUGAUCAGUCACACCGGAACUGAGACACGGUCCGGACUCCGUACGGGAGCAGCAGGUGGGAAUAGUUGGACAAGUGGGCGACAAGCCUGAUCCAGCAAUCGGCCGCGUGUAGUAGAA
Molecule: ribosomal RNA, 379 nt
Filed under: uncultured soil bacterium
Lineage: Bacteria
Description: bacterial SSU rRNA
Rfam family: Bacterial small subunit ribosomal RNA
Source: RNAcentral